Sinocyclocheilus anshuiensis is the source of this 303-nucleotide long non-coding RNA. RefSeq lists it as uncharacterized. The record is from RefSeq and is a predicted model, not a curated record. The transcript has 3 exons. NCBI's taxonomy places the organism in Eukaryota, Metazoa, Chordata, Actinopteri, Cypriniformes, Cyprinidae.
CACAUAAUAAAAGGAUAGUUCACCCAAAAAUAAUAAUUCAGACAUUAUUUCCUCACCCUGGUGUUGUUCUAAUGCAACUGUAACAAAGCGAAUACAGCUUCAUACAUCAGAACCCAGAAUGACUCUGGUCUUACCAUUCAGCUGCUUUAACUUUAAGAUGUUAAGAACUUUUGCAGAUCCUCUUGCCAGAUUUGUUCCACAAUGCACCAAUUUUAGAACAAGAAUUUAAAAAUAAAAAUGGAUGCAAGAAAUUUAAAAGGAGAAAAGGGUAAGUGAAAACCUUGCAAAUAAAUUAUCUGUUCA